GAUGAACGCUAGCGGCAGGCUUAACACAUGCAAGUCGAACGGUAACAUUUCUUGCUUGCAAGAAGAUGACGAGUGGCGCACGGGUGCGUAACGCGUAUACAACCUGCCUUUAACAAAGGGAUAGCCCAUGGAAACGUGGAUUAAUACCUUAUAAUAUCUAGACAUGGCAUCAUGAUUAGAUCAAAGAUUUAUCGGUUAAAGGAGGGGUAUGCGUGACAUUAGCUAGUUGGUGAGGUAACGGCCCACCAAGGCAACGAUGUCUAGGGGUUCUGAGAGGAUGAUCCCCCACACUGGUACUGAGACACGGACCAG
This 312-nucleotide ribosomal RNA is filed under the name uncultured bacterium. RNAcentral's name for it is "bacterial SSU rRNA". It matches the Rfam family "Bacterial small subunit ribosomal RNA", at positions 28 to 334 of the family's 1533-position model. The record is from RNAcentral.